RNAcentral lists this ribosomal RNA (445 nucleotides) under uncultured bacterium. RNAcentral's name for it is "bacterial SSU rRNA". It matches the Rfam family "Bacterial small subunit ribosomal RNA", at positions 330 to 792 of the family's 1533-position model. The record is from RNAcentral.
CCCAGACUCCUACGGGAGGCAGCAGUGGGGAAUAUUGCACAAUGGGGGAAACCCUGAUGCAGCGACGCCGCGUGAGCGAUGAAGUAUUUCGGUAUGUAAAGCUCUCUCAGCAGGGAAGAAGAUGACGGUACCUGACUAAGAAGCCCCGGCUAACUACGUGCCAGCAGCCGCGGUAAUACGUAGGGGGCAAGCGUUAUCUGGAUUCACUGGGUGUAAAGGGAGCGUAGACGGCGACGCAAGUCUGGAGUGAAAGCCCGGGGCCCAACCCCGGGACUGCUCUGGAAACUGCGUCGCUGGAGUACGGGAGGGGCAGGCGGAAUUCCUGGGGUAGCGGUGAAAUGCGUAGAUAUCAGGAGGAACACCGGCGGCGAAGGCGGCCUGCUGGACCGUGACUGACGUUGAGGCUCGAGAGCGUGGGGAGCAAACAGGAUUAGAUACCCCAGUA